This 71-nucleotide transfer RNA is filed under the name Candidatus Vidania fulgoroideorum. Its description in RNAcentral is "tRNA-Gly". It matches the Rfam family "tRNA". From Rfam's summary of the family: Transfer RNA (tRNA) molecules are approximately 80 nucleotides in length. The record is from RNAcentral. Lineage: Bacteria; Pseudomonadati; Pseudomonadota; Betaproteobacteria.
GCGAUUAUAUCUUAAAGGCAAAGUCAAAGAUUUCCAAUCUUUUUAUAAGGGUUCAAUUCCCUUUAGUCGCU